This 740-nucleotide long non-coding RNA is filed under the name Phasianus colchicus (ring-necked pheasant). Its description in RNAcentral is "lncRNA (ENSPCLG00000010297.1)". Lineage: Eukaryota; Metazoa; Chordata; Aves; Galliformes; Phasianidae. The record is from RNAcentral.
GUCAAUGUUUUUCUUCCACUUUAUUUCCUUAGAAAUAUGACUAACCAUUUUUUUCUCCCCAGGUUUUGUGAAAUCAAUUUGCAAUUGAGAUGCGUUUCUGCGAUCCCAGCAGUGCCGGCUCUGGCAUCGCUGCUCUCACGGAGCACCAUAUGCUUCCUUCUGUUUGUUUGCUGCCUUCCCAACGCUCCCAGAUCAUCUCAUUGGUACCUGCUGACACGUGCUCCCCAGCUGCAAACGGCCAACCCCGCCCUGGCACCUCAGCUGCCAUCCUGCUCAGUACCAGGGGUGACAGCUUGCAGCAGAAAUGCAAAGCCACAGCUUGAAGCAGUGAUGGAACACCUGGUGAGAAGGCAGGGCCAACCUGGAGGAGCUCAGCUGUGUGCAAUGUACUGAGUGAUGGAGGGGCUGGAGCAGGAUCCACCCCUUCCCAGCCCUCAUUUAAGGACUGAAAGUGGAGAUGAGGGUAUUUUGUUGGAGAUACCUGUGUACCUGAGGCCUUCUGAAGGUAAGUGGCCUUUUUGCUUUUGUUUUUCUGCCUAUGGUUGCUGCCUUGAGUGUAUCCUCAUCUGCUGUAGCCAAGAUCUUUGCUACUCUGCUCUCAUUGCUGUGUUUUCUAUCGUGUUACGCAGCUGCAGAAUGCUGUUGUCCUCAGGACCCUCUCACUGUGCAGUCUGGGAAAUACAGCAUGAAAGCUGCUUUUAGGGUUUGACUAUGGCAAUAAAAGUGAAAGAUAUUGUGAG